Molecule: ribosomal RNA, 268 nt
Filed under: uncultured bacterium
Lineage: Bacteria
Description: partial 16S ribosomal RNA
Rfam family: Bacterial small subunit ribosomal RNA
Source: RNAcentral
CCGGCGCACGGGUGGAGUAACAACGUACUGCAACCUACGGCCGUCACAGGUGGAUAACCGGAAGAAAUUCCGACUAAUACAGCAUAACACUCCUGAGGGACAUCCUUCGGGAGUCAAAGGAGGCAACUCCGGUGACGGAUGGGCAUGCGGCGCAUUAGGUAGUUGGUAGGGUAACGGCCUACCAAGCCGACGAUGCGUAGGGGUUCUGAGAGGAAGGUCCCCCACAUUGGAACUGAGACACGGUCCAAACUCCUACGGGAGGCAGCAG